UGAGGAAUAUUGGUCAAUGGGCGAGAGCCUGAACCAGCCAAGUAGCGUGAAGGAUGACUGCCCUAUGGGUUGUAAACUUCUUUUAUAAAGGAAUAAAGUCGGGUAUGGAUACCCGUUUGCAUGUACUUUAUGAAUAAGGAUCGGCUAACUCCGUGCCAGCAGCCGCGGUAAUACGGAGGAUCCGAGCGUUAUCCGGAUUUAUUGGGUUUAAAGGGAGCGUAGGUGGAUUGUUAAGUCAGCGGUCAAAGCCCGGGGCUCAACCCCGGCCCGCCGUUGAAACUGGCAGUCUCAAGUUGGAGAGAAGUAUGCGGAAUGCGCGGUGUAGCGGUGAAAUGCUUAGAUAUCACGAAGAACUCCGAUUGCGAAGACAGCCUGCUAAGCUGCAACUGACAUUGAGGCUCGAAAGUGUGGGUAUCAAACAGG
This 423-nucleotide ribosomal RNA is filed under the name uncultured bacterium. RNAcentral's name for it is "bacterial SSU rRNA". It matches the Rfam family "Bacterial small subunit ribosomal RNA", at positions 355 to 776 of the family's 1533-position model. The record is from RNAcentral.